GUCUGUAGUAGGGGUUUGCUUUUGCCCCACUGUAGCUAUUACUAAUCCAAACCAUUAUUGAUUGCAUACCAUCUCUUACAAUUUGCUCUAGUAGGAGGAUGUUUGUGUGCAGUCCUGCUGGCAUACCAGUGCUGAGGUGAAAGAUCACCUGAGGAAGGGGGACAGGCCUUCUGUUUUAACAAGGUGAACAUAUAGAAAGAUAUGCCAUGGACUUCAGGCCAACUUCUUUUCUACCUGAUCUCAACUGAAUCACCAAACACAAGUUUAAGUCAGAGGAAACCCUUCUUAUUGUAUUUCUCUUAUUUUCAUUCAGACCACAUUAUCUAAACUCAUGCGGAGUGAUUUCUAACCUGAACUGCCAUGCUUGCCUCUGGAGGAAAAAGGCCUCAGAAGCAUCUUGAUAAAUUGAUGUACAUCUAUGUAUGAUAUGCACUUUAUGCGAUGUAAGUAGGAAGAACAAGUGUAACUCAUGCAAAUUAUGACUCCUGAGUCUAAUCUAAAUUGGUGGAACCAUCAAUGCAACUGGACAGCUAGAAGGGGGAUGGAGUUGCUUAACGCAUCCAGGUGUCUUUGUUGCUGCAACUCAGCUACGAAGGACACAGCAUUAAGUGCAAAAUUUCUGGAUAAAGAGCUGUGGACCUGGUUCCUCUAAUGAAGAUUCUCAUUACAGAAAAUGCCUUCAUCUGAGUUGGAAAACAAAUACAAAAAACAGAACCUGUUCAACCAGGCUUGUGGAUAACACUGAUGAUGCUCUGUUUCGAUGAGAUGACAUAACUUACUGCCACAGCAGCCUCAGAAUCUUCUGUUCAUGUCUAAUGACGAGACAAAAUACAGCUCUGCCUUAUUAACUGAAACUUGCAUACAUCCAAAAUCAGCUUAAAUUUCUCAACAGAAAUCUUAGCAGCUCUGUGUACCAAACCUCUUUCUGUUGCCUGCUGACCUUCCAUACCUGCACAAAGAGCAAAGGGUGUGUUCUGUGGGAUGUGCACAUAGUAUGUGCCUCCCUGGAGAAGUGCACCAAGCCAACAGUGGUUGCCUCAGCUGUGGGGCAGAAGUGAGUGUUGGGAAGGGUGCUGUGGGGCUUGAGCCUUCCUUCUUACAGCCCCAAAUUGUAGUGGGUGGGCCAGACACUGCUGUUUAUAUGGACCUCUAGCAAAUUGCUGCUGCUCUGGAGCAAGGGAGAUGUAGGCUGAGUGCAUGACAAGAGACGUGUUCUGGCUAGCUUUAAGUGAGCUGUCUUCAGUGGUGUUAGCAGUACAGCCACAGGAGCACACAGCUCAGCAUAGG
Molecule: long non-coding RNA, 1287 nt
Organism: Gallus gallus (chicken)
Lineage: Eukaryota; Metazoa; Chordata; Aves; Galliformes; Phasianidae
Source: Ensembl